This 465-nucleotide ribosomal RNA is filed under the name uncultured Streptococcus sp. RNAcentral's name for it is "bacterial SSU rRNA". It matches the Rfam family "Bacterial small subunit ribosomal RNA", at positions 338 to 795 of the family's 1533-position model. The record is from RNAcentral. Lineage: Bacteria; Bacillati; Bacillota; Bacilli; Lactobacillales; Streptococcaceae.
CCUACGGGAGGCAGCAGUAGGGAAUCUUCGGCAAUGGGGGCAACCCUGACCGAGCAACGCCGCGUGAGUGAAGAAGGUUUUCGGAUCGUAAAGCUCUGUUGUAAGAGAAGAACGUGUGUGAGAGUGGAAAGUUCACACAGUGACGGUAACUUACCAGAAAGGGACGGCUAACUACGUGCCAGCAGCCGCGGUAAUACGUAGGUCCCGAGCGUUGUCCGGAUUUAUUGGGCGUAAAGCGAGCGCAGGCGGUUUAAUAAGUCUGAAGUUAAAGGCAGUGGCUUAACCAUUGUUCGCUUUGGAAACUGUUAGACUUGAGUGCAGAAGGGGAGAGUGGAAUUCCAUGUGUAGCGGUGAAAUGCGUAGAUAUAUGGAGGAACACCGGUGGCGAAAGCGGCUCUCUGGUCUGUAACUGACGCUGAGGCUCGAAAGCGUGGGGAGCAAACAGGAUUAGAUACCCGAGUAGUC